Prionailurus viverrinus (fishing cat) is the source of this 234-nucleotide long non-coding RNA. RefSeq lists it as uncharacterized. The transcript has 3 exons. The record is from RefSeq and is a predicted model, not a curated record. NCBI's taxonomy places the organism in Eukaryota, Metazoa, Chordata, Mammalia, Carnivora, Felidae.
GGAUUUCUCCCAGUCUCCUACCUGCAGCUGCUUCCAUAGUUGGAUCAGUGACCCAGUGCUCAGGGGAGAAGUAUGUGUGUUCCUCCUGCCCCCAUUCCUGGGCCCCAACUUUCUCUGGAGACUGCUGCGGUCCCAGCUUCUGCUCUGGGCAGACAAAGUAUCUUGUUCCUAGACCACCCCCAGCCCUCGCUGCCUCUGAACCUAGCGUCCAAGAACCACCUGCAACAGAAAGUG